This 383-nucleotide unclassified non-coding RNA is filed under the name Hevea brasiliensis (rubber tree). The record is from RNAcentral. Lineage: Eukaryota; Viridiplantae; Streptophyta; Magnoliopsida; Malpighiales; Euphorbiaceae.
CUGAAUUAUUAAUGACAUUAUAUAAUUGAGGGCAAUACCCCACGUUUUCAACCAGAACACAAAAGGGCCCGAGGGACGAGGCCCACAAAGGAAGAAAAACGUAGAGAGUACAUCAUUGGUGGGGCGCCACAUCUCAGAGAGAGCCUUUAUCCAUCACAACAUCUCAAAUCUAUGGACCACAUUUUGUAAUAUCAUUCAAGUCAACAUCCAAUAUCCUAGAAAAGUCGAUAUUUUAUCUCCUGUUUUUAUCCAUGCGAGGAGAGAGAAACCCAAUUUCUACGAUUAUCACAAAUAAUUAUAUACUCAAAGAUCAUCAGAAUUGUAAUUUCAGUCAUUCAAACAAGAUUCAAGAUAUAAUCGCAUGAAGAAAAGCCUAUCUUAUU